GACGAACGCUGGCGGCGUGCUUAACACAUGCAAGUCGAACGCUGAAGCUCAGCUUUUGUUGGGUGGAUGAGUGGCGAACGGGUGAGUAACACGUGAGUAACCUGCCCCCUUCUUUGGGAUAACGCCCGGAAACGGGUGCUAAUACUGGAUAUUCACUGGUCUUCGCAUGGGGGUUGGUGGAAAGGGUUUUUCUGGUGGGGGAUGGGCUCGCGGCCUAUCAGCUUGUUGGUGGGGUGAUGGCCUACCAAGGCUUUGACGGGUAGCCGGCCUGAGAGGGUGACCGGGCACAUUGGGACUGAGAUACGGCCCAGGCUCCUACGGGGGGCAGCACGGGGGAAUAUUGCACAAUGGGCGCAAGCCUGAUGCGGCGACGGCGCGUGAGGGAUGGAGGCCUUCAGGUUGUGAACCUCUUUCGCUAAUGGUCAAGCCGCAACAAUGGUUGUGGUGAGGGUAGUGGGUAAAGAAGCGCCGGCUAACUACGUG
This 483-nucleotide ribosomal RNA is filed under the name uncultured bacterium. RNAcentral describes it as "partial 16S ribosomal RNA". It matches the Rfam family "Bacterial small subunit ribosomal RNA", at positions 28 to 507 of the family's 1533-position model. The record is from RNAcentral.